Setaria italica (foxtail millet) is the source of this 1536-nucleotide long non-coding RNA. RefSeq lists it as uncharacterized. The record is from RefSeq and is a predicted model, not a curated record. The transcript has 6 exons. NCBI's taxonomy places the organism in Eukaryota, Viridiplantae, Streptophyta, Magnoliopsida, Poales, Poaceae.
UCCCAGACCCUCAGCACACCGCGGUCCACCGUCGUCGCAUCCUCUGAUCCGCGCGUCACCGCCAGUCACCAUCCCUCGCCGCCACCGCCGCCGCACGGCAUCCCCCGCAUCCGUCGCUCGCCAGCUGCUGGCGGAGAGGGCCUCCACCGCAUUCAGUUGUCAGCACCUCGCCCGCAGGCCGUCAUCUUCAAUUUAGCAUUUUGCAGCUGAUUCCGCUGGUCCUCGUCGGUAACUUUUUUUCGUGUUACGGCUUUCCUCCCCCGUGUCAGGCAGCUCUUCCAUCAUCCCUCUGAGCUGUGGUUUUCUUCAUUUUCAUACCUACUCAUGGAGUCUUCAGAUUCGGUUCCCUUACAGUUAGAAGGUGUUCAGCGAGGUUCUCCAUGGAUCUGCUCAACUAGAAGCACGGAUACUUGUCAGCUGUUGGUGAAUAGGAUGCCUAUCAACCCGAAGCUAGCUGUAUUCGAGAGCACACAGGAGAGAUAUGCGCGGGUUUAUAAUUUCACCGCCUCUUCUGUAGUCCACUGUAUUUUCAUUGAUUCAUGGACUAUACCUUAUACUUUCAUUUUUCUCACUUCAGGUUCGAGGUUCCUCUUUGACCCGAGUUGCGAUCAUCUUAUCCAGUGGCUGGUGGCCCUGGAUCGUCUUUUCAACAGCUACCCAACCGAAAUGUUCCUCAACAGAGUUAUGUUCCUGAUGACCCUGGUGUUGAUUUUAUUGCGGAUGACCAAGAUCCGGGGUGCAAUAAAUCUGUUCACCGUAUGAGGAAUGCUUCUGAUGAUCGCACCGGGGUUAUAGAUCGCCGGAGGAAGAAGUUUCGGUCCUCUUCAAAGGAAAAGAAUAGUGCAACUGAUAAUUCUAGGCCAUUAACCGAUUAUUUCCUUGCCCAGGAUGGCACAGAGGUCCACCAAGACCCAGGAACUUCAAUGUUGGGUUGGAUGACAUGACUAAUGUCCCUAAGAUUCGUAUUCCACGCUUGCGUGAUCUCUUAUCCUGUCCAUUGGGUUGUCUCACUGGUCGCCCCUUGCAAGCCUUUAAUGAAUUGUUCGACCAGUUUGACCAAACCUUAUCUGAGAACACUUGUGCCAUCCAAGCUUCUCUAUGCAACAUUGCUAGAGCUCCUUAUCGUCUAGCUGAAAAGUGCGGACCGGUAAUAGAGGAGCUUAUUGCUUCUGAUCCUAACAAUAUUGGGGAGACUUCACGGAGGAACAACUCAGGCAUCGAAGAGGACUUUGUCCAUCCUCACAACGGUGGCACACAUCGAUCCCCACAAUACAUUCUGAUUAUGUUCUAUUUUUCAAUUCCUAAUCAAAUUGCUCCUGAAAGCUUCAACUUAUUUUUCUGUACAUUACUUUCUGUACAUCAAGUAUUCGAGCAUGGAAACGGUGGUGUUUUCAGGACCCCCAAGUUCUUGCUACAGAGAUGACGUAUUAAGGGAUGGCAACGGCCAAAACUCAUACACCCCAGAUCCCGCCACAUCUAAAACUGGUGGCACUACACCUUGCACUAAACCUCAUCAAGAAGCUUGCAGGGACGACA